GAUGAAGAACGUAGCGAAAUGCGAUACGUAAUGUGAAUUGCAGAAUUCAGUGAAUCAUCGAGUCUUUGAACGCAAGUUGCGCCCGAAGCCAUUAGGCCGAGGGCACGCCUGCCUGGGCGUCACACGUCGUUGCCCCCCCAUCUACUCCUUCGGGAUUGCGGGGGGCGGAUGAUGGCCUCCCGUGCGCCUCGUCGCGCGGUUGGCAUAAAUGCCAAGUCCUCGGCGACGCACGCCACGACAAUCGGUGGUUGCGAAACCUCGGUUGCCCGUCGUGUGCGGUCGUCGCGCAUCGAGGGCUCGAAAAAAUUGCCGGGCUCCGGCUCGACUUUCAACGCGACCCCAGGUCAGGCGGGGUUACCCGCUGAAUUUAAGCAUAUCAAUAAGCGGAGGA
This 391-nucleotide unclassified non-coding RNA is filed under the name soil metagenome. RNAcentral's name for it is "partial contains 5.8S ribosomal RNA, internal transcribed spacer 2, and large subunit ribosomal RNA". The stretch from base 1 to 122 matches the Rfam family "5.8S ribosomal RNA", at positions 35 to 154 of the family's 154-position model. The record is from RNAcentral.